UGGUGGAGUGAUUUGUCUGGUUAAUUCCGUUAACGAACGAGACUUUGACCUGCUAAAUAGUCGAUGUAGAGAUUCUACAUUGAGCUUCUUAGAGGGACUUUGCGUGUAUAACGCAAGGAAGUUCAAAGCAAUAACA
RNAcentral lists this ribosomal RNA (136 nucleotides) under uncultured eukaryote. RNAcentral describes it as "partial 18S ribosomal RNA". It matches the Rfam family "Eukaryotic small subunit ribosomal RNA", at positions 1299 to 1458 of the family's 1831-position model. The record is from RNAcentral.